GACGUAGGGCGCGAGCGUUGUCCGGAUUUAUUGGGCGUAAAGAGCUCGUAGGCGGUUUGUCGCGUCAACUGUGAAAACCCGUGGCUCAACCAUGUGGUCUGCAGUCGAUACGGGCAGGCUAGAAUUCGGUAGGGGAGACUGGAAUUCCUGGUGUAGCGGUGAAAUGCGCAGAUAUCAGGAGGAACACCGGUGGCGAAGGCGGGUCUCUGGGCCGAUAUUGACGCUGAGGAGCGAAAGCGUGGGGAGCGAACAGG
RNAcentral lists this ribosomal RNA (254 nucleotides) under uncultured bacterium. Its description in RNAcentral is "partial 16S ribosomal RNA". It matches the Rfam family "Bacterial small subunit ribosomal RNA", at positions 524 to 776 of the family's 1533-position model. The record is from RNAcentral.